This 406-nucleotide ribosomal RNA is filed under the name uncultured bacterium. Its description in RNAcentral is "partial 16S ribosomal RNA". It matches the Rfam family "Bacterial small subunit ribosomal RNA", at positions 30 to 527 of the family's 1533-position model. The record is from RNAcentral.
AUUGAACGCUGGCGGCAGGCCUAACACAUGCAAGUCGAACGAGUCGCGGACUUGUGAGUAAUGUCUUGGAAACUGCCUGAUGGAGGGGGAUCACUCCUGGAAACGGUAGCUAAUACCGCAUACCAUCAGAUGUGCCCCGAUGGGUUUAGCUCGUUGGUGGGGUAAAGGCUCACCAAGCCGACGAUCCCUAGCUGGGCGGAGAGGAUGACCAGCCACACUGGAACUGAGACACGGUCCAGACUCCUACGGGAGGCAGCAGUGGGGAAUAUUGCACAAUGGGCGCAAGCCUGAUGCAGCCAUGCCGCGUGUAUGAAGAAGGCCUUCGGGUUGUAAAGUACUUUCAGCGGGGAGGCGUUAACCGAAGAAGAAGCACCGGCUAACUCCGUGCCAGCAGCCGCGGUAAUUG